UAACACGUGGAUAACCUACCUAUAAGACUGGGAUAACUUCGGGAAACCGGAGCUAAUACCGGAUGAUAUUUUGAACCGCAUGGCUCAAAAGUGAAAGACGGUCUUGCUGUCACUUAUAGAUGGAUCCGCGCUGCAUUAGCUAGUUGGUAAGGUAACGGCUUACCAAGGCAACGAUGCAUAGCCGACCUGAGAGGGUGAUCGGCCACACUGGAACUGAGACACGGUCCAG
This 229-nucleotide ribosomal RNA is filed under the name uncultured Staphylococcus sp. RNAcentral describes it as "partial 16S ribosomal RNA". It matches the Rfam family "Bacterial small subunit ribosomal RNA", at positions 111 to 334 of the family's 1533-position model. Lineage: Bacteria; Bacillati; Bacillota; Bacilli; Caryophanales; Staphylococcaceae. The record is from RNAcentral.